AUGUUUCUUUAGACCAGGUCCCCUUUCCCCAUGGGAGUUUGGUGUGCAAUGGUUGCAAACAGCAGCCUCCUUGGUAGUGUUUGCAGCCUAUUGCCUAUAUGGGCUGUCCUAAGGGACCUUGGAGACAAUU
Small nucleolar RNA from Mesocricetus auratus (golden hamster), 130 nucleotides. Its record names the gene SNORA70. It matches the Rfam family "Small nucleolar RNA SNORA70". Rfam says of the family: snoRNA U70 seems to be exclusive to mammals and is a member of the H/ACA class of snoRNA which contain H (ANANNA) and ACA box motifs. H/ACA box snoRNAs are involved in the conversion of uridines to pseudouridines (5-ribosyluracil) a constituent of structural RNAs (transfer, ribosomal, small nuclear, and small nucleolar). Lineage: Eukaryota; Metazoa; Chordata; Mammalia; Rodentia; Cricetidae. The record is from Ensembl.